CCGGCAUCCAGAGAGCGUCCUUCUGUUUUCGCAAUUCGUGCUAAGAAAUAUCAUCGUAGUUGUGCCCAAACUUUGCUCUGAAGAUGCCUUCUCCCUGUGACUCCUGCAAAGACACUUGCUCGGAUGGUCAGUCCGGCUGUGGAAAGGACUGCAAAUGUGGUGACGACUGCAAAUGCUCUGCUGACGGAAAAAACUGUGGCUGCGCCGGAGAUAGUGGACAAAGCAAUGAAUAAUCAUCACGAGUUCCUUAUUUUUUAUUUAUGUAAUUUUUAUUAUUAUUUUUUUUUUUUAACAAUGUAGGAUUGUUUAUGCGUGUCAUCGACGCUUCUAGUGGUAUAUCUAUUAAAUGCGCUUUUUAAGUAGCGAUGUUGGUUUGAGUAAGAUACUGCAGCAUGUAUGAAUUUUACAUAUUUUAUUACAGUUUUAGGAAAUAAAAUACAUUUCACUCA
This is a long non-coding RNA of Zophobas morio, 449 nucleotides long. RefSeq lists it as uncharacterized. The transcript is spliced from 3 exons. The record is from RefSeq and is a predicted model, not a curated record. NCBI's taxonomy places the organism in Eukaryota, Metazoa, Arthropoda, Insecta, Coleoptera, Tenebrionidae.